AUUGAACGCUGGCGGCAGGCCUAACACAUGCAAGUCGAGCGGUAGCACAGAGAGCUUGCUCUCGGGUGACGAGCGGCGGACGGGUGAGUAAUGUCUGGGAAACUGCCUGAUGGAGGGGGAUAACUACUGGAAACGGUAGCUAAUACCGCAUAAUGUCGCAAGACCAAAGUGGGGACCUUCGGGCCUCAUGCCAUCAGAUGUGCCCAGAUGGGAUUAGCUAGUAGGUGGGGUAACGGCUCACCUAGGCGACGAUCCCUAGCUGGUCUGAGAGGAUGACCAGCCACACUGGAACUGAGACACGGUCCAGACUCCUACGGGAGGCAGCAGUGGGGAAUAUUGCACAAUGGGCGCAAGCCUGAUGCAGCCAUGCCGCGUGUGUGAAGAAGGCCUUCGGGUUGUAAAGCACUUUCAGCGGGGAGGAAGGCGUUAAGGUUAAUAACCUUGGCGAUUGACGUUACCUGCAGAAGAAGCACCGGCUAACUCCGUGCCAGCCGCCGCCGUAA
RNAcentral lists this ribosomal RNA (503 nucleotides) under uncultured bacterium. RNAcentral describes it as "partial 16S ribosomal RNA". It matches the Rfam family "Bacterial small subunit ribosomal RNA", at positions 30 to 523 of the family's 1533-position model. The record is from RNAcentral.